This 463-nucleotide ribosomal RNA is filed under the name uncultured bacterium. RNAcentral's name for it is "bacterial SSU rRNA". It matches the Rfam family "Bacterial small subunit ribosomal RNA", at positions 420 to 882 of the family's 1533-position model. The record is from RNAcentral.
GAGUUGUAAACUGCUUUUGUACGAGGGUAAACUCACCUACGUGUAGGUGACUGAAAGUAUCGUACGAAUAAGGAUCGGCUAACUCCGUGCCAGCAGCCGCGGUAAUACGGAGGAUUCAAGCGUUAUCCGGAUUUAUUGGGCUUAAAGGGUGCGUAGGCGGUUUGAUAAGUUAGAGGUGAAAUCCCGGGGCUUAACUCCGGAACUGCCUCUAAUACUGUUAGACUAGAGAGUAGUUGCGGUAGGCGGAAUGUAUGGUGUAGCGGUGAAAUGCUUAGAGAUCAUACAGAACACCGAUUGCGAAGGCAGCUUACCAAACUAUAUCUGACGUUGAGGCACGAAAGCGUGGGGAGCAAACAGGAUUAGAUACCCUGGUAGUCCCACGCAGUAAACGCAUGAUAACUCGUUGUCGGCGAUACACAGUCGGUGACUAAGCGAAAGCGAUAAGUUAUCCACCUGGGGAGUA